GACAAACAGGUCGAGUUAAAACUGAAAUAGUAAAAAAGGAGGUUAAUGAGUUGAUUAUGAAAAAUAAUGCUUUUUAGGAAGGUAGAAUUUGGAUAAGAAGAGGUGAUCUGGUUUUUUCUUUUUUUGAUGCCUCGAAAUUUUAUUAUGAGACCGGGAUUAGAUACCCCGUUAUUUAAAAUGUAAACUUUAAUUGUGUGUGAUUUACUUGAGUACUACGAGAAGUCGAGAGAAUGAUCUAUAUGGUUCUUAAAACUCAAAAAACUUGGCGGUGCCUUAUAUCCUUCCAGGGGAACCUGUCCUGUAAUCGAUAGUCCACGAUUUAACUUUCUUCCUUUUGAAUUUAAAUAUCAGCUUGUAUACCGUCGUCGUCAGAUUACCUUUAAGAGUUAUGAAGUUGUCAGCAAGAAGUUGGAGGAGGAAAUUUAAGUUAUCAUAACUUAAAUUUGUUUUUAUGUUCUAGACGUCAGAUCAAGGUGCAGUUUAUAAGGGAGUAGAGAUGGGUUACAAUAAUAAAUUAUUAGAUGGAUUUUUUGUUGUAAUAGCAAAAUUGAAGGAGGACUUGGAAGUAAUUGGUUUAAAAAUAAGAGAGUUUAAAUGAAAAUAGGUUCUGAGGUGUGU
Molecule: ribosomal RNA, 618 nt
Filed under: Solariella sp. 7 LS-2013
Lineage: Eukaryota; Metazoa; Mollusca; Gastropoda; Trochida; Solariellidae
Description: partial 12S ribosomal RNA
Source: RNAcentral